Molecule: ribosomal RNA, 651 nt
Filed under: Salmonella enterica subsp. enterica serovar Kisarawe
Lineage: Bacteria; Pseudomonadati; Pseudomonadota; Gammaproteobacteria; Enterobacterales; Enterobacteriaceae
Description: partial 23S ribosomal RNA
Rfam family: Bacterial large subunit ribosomal RNA
Source: RNAcentral
GGGUUGUGAGGUUAAGCGACUAAGCGUACACGGUGGAUGCCCUGGCAGUCAGAGGCGAUGAAGGGCGUGCUAAUCUGCGAUAAGCGCCGGUAAGGUGAUAUGAACCGUUAUAACCGGCGAUACCCGAAUGGGGAAACCCAGUGUGACUCGUCACACUAUCAUUAACUGAAUCCAUAGGUUAAUGAGGCGAACCGGGGGAACUGAAACAUCUAAGUACCCCGAGGAAAAGAAAUCAACCGAGAUUCCCCCAGUAGCGGCGAGCGAACGGGGAGGAGCCCAGAGCCUGAAUCAGCAUAUGUGUUAGUGGAAGCGUCUGGAAAGGCGCGCGAUACAGGGUGACAGCCCCGUACACAAAAGCGCAUGUGCUGUGAGCUCGAUGAGUAGGGCGGGACACGUGGUAUCCUGUCUGAAUAUGGGGGGACCAUCCUCCAAGGCUAAAUACUCCUGACUGACCGAUAGUGAACCAGUACCGUGAGGGAAAGGCGAAAAGAACCCCGGCGAGGGGAGUGAAAAAGAACCUGAAACCGUGUACGUACAAGCAGUGGGAGCCCCACCACUAAGCCAGUGGUGAACUCCACAUACGCAUCCUUUGCUGAGGAUACGGUUAACGGAGCGAAAGCGACGUUCAACCUCAAAAGAAGCAGAGGGGGC